RNAcentral lists this long non-coding RNA (460 nucleotides) under Brassica napus (rape). RNAcentral describes it as "long non-coding RNA (BNAP_LNC009496)". Lineage: Eukaryota; Viridiplantae; Streptophyta; Magnoliopsida; Brassicales; Brassicaceae. The record is from RNAcentral.
UAGCUAACUAUAUUUAUUACGCCUUAUCUAAACCAGUAAUAUAACAACUUUAUAUUUGACAGACCAAAUCAUGUUCUACACGAUAAUAUAGAACACAAUACAUGUUAUACACAAAACACUAUACACUAUAUAGUUUAUUCAUUGAGUCCUGCUCAUAUUGAUGACAGUUAUCUGUACAAUAAUCAUAUCACAUGUAUUCCUCUCUCAGACCCAAACGCCAAAUGUCAAUACUCUCAUUCAAUUGAAAGACCAGAUCAUACUCUAACCUCGAUGAAACAACACAUUCAUUCUCAAUCUGCCAAAAUGAUUCAGAGCAUAACCUUACAUAUACUGUAUCAUUUUGAAUAAAACUUAUCUGGUAAAAUACUGUAUCAUUUUGAAUCAAUCUAAUAUGGCAAAAUAUUAGUGCUUAUACCAAGUCUCUUCUUUGAGAGGGUUCUUAGUUCGUUCUUAAUCUGAG